RNAcentral lists this ribosomal RNA (446 nucleotides) under uncultured bacterium. RNAcentral's name for it is "bacterial SSU rRNA". It matches the Rfam family "Bacterial small subunit ribosomal RNA", at positions 331 to 793 of the family's 1533-position model. The record is from RNAcentral.
CCAGACUCCUACGGGAGGCAGCAGUGGGGGAUAUUGCACAAUGGGGGGAACCCUGAUGCAGCGACGCCGCGUGGGUGAAGGAGUGCUUCGGCAUGUAAAGCCCUAUCGGCAGGGAAGAAGCAAGACGGUACCUGACUAAGAAGCCCCGGCUAACUACGUGCCAGCAGCCGCGGUAAUACGUGGGGGGCGAGCGUUAUCCGGGUUCACUGGGUGUAAAGGGAGCGUAGACGGCCAUGCAAGCCAGGGGUGAAAGCCCGGGGCCCAACCCCGGGACUGCCCUUGGAACUGCAUGGCUGGAGUGCGGGAGGGGCAGGCGGAAUUCCUGGUGUAGCGGUGAAAUGCGUAGAUAUUAGGAGGAACACCAGUGGCGAAGGCGGCCUGCUGGACGACAACUGACGGUGAGGCGCGAAAGCGUGGGGAGCAAACAGGAUUAGAUACCCUAGUAA